Molecule: transfer RNA, 71 nt
Filed under: Ictidomys tridecemlineatus (thirteen-lined ground squirrel)
Lineage: Eukaryota; Metazoa; Chordata; Mammalia; Rodentia; Sciuridae
Description: Spermophilus tridecemlineatus (thirteen-lined ground squirrel) tRNA
Rfam family: tRNA
About the family: Transfer RNA (tRNA) molecules are approximately 80 nucleotides in length. Their secondary structure includes four short double-helical elements and three loops (D, anti-codon, and T loops).
Source: Rfam by way of RNAcentral
GGGGCUGUAGCUCAGUGGCAGAGCACUUGCCUAGCAUGUGUGAGGCCCUGGGUUUGAUCCUCAGCACCUCA